RNAcentral lists this ribosomal RNA (494 nucleotides) under uncultured bacterium. RNAcentral describes it as "partial 16S ribosomal RNA". It matches the Rfam family "Bacterial small subunit ribosomal RNA", at positions 28 to 507 of the family's 1533-position model. The record is from RNAcentral.
GACGAACGCUGGCGGCGUGCUUAACACAUGCAAGUCGAACGGAAAGGCCUGCUUUCCCUUGUGGAUUGCGGGUACUCGAGUGGCGAACGGGUGAGUAACACGUGAGUGAUCUGCCCCCAACUUGGGUAUAAGCCCGGGAAACUGGGUCUAAUUCCCGAUAGGACUGCAGGGUGGUGCCUGUGGUGGAAAACGAUUUUCUAGUGGUUGGGGAUGAGCUCGCGGCCUAUCAGCUUGUUGGCGGGGUAAUGGCCUACCAAGGCGGCGACGGGUAGCCGGCCUGAGAGGGUGGACGGCCACAUUGGGACUGAGAUACGGCCCAGACUCCUACGGGAGGCAGCAGUGGGGAAUAUUGCACAAUGGGCGGAAGCCUGAUGCAGCGACGCCGCGUGGGGGAUGACGGCCUUCGGGUUGUAAACUCCUUUCGACCGCGAGGAAGCCACCUGGUUGGAAGGGUGGUGACGGUAGUGGUAGAAGAAGCACCGGCUAACUACGUG